GCGCCUCCUUUAUACCGCGAUCUCAGGCUCCACCAUCUCAAACCACUUUUCCCUCUAGGGCUUCCAUUGCAAAGGAGCCAGUGACAUGCUUUCUGGCGGCGAUUGGGAGCGAAAUAUCCAAAACCCCGGUCAGGAUCAGCCCAACCUUGAGCUGCUGUGGGAAGCGCGGCUGUUGCAGAGAUUAGAGGCAGAAUUAAAACUGGACCCUUUUAGAGUCUCCCAGUGAUCUGCACAACUACCGCCUGACGAGGCUUUCUGGGUCCUAAACCACGCCUGUUCAUAGCUCUUCUUCUUCUUCAACUCAAGACUAGAGUUUCAGGAUCCUCAAUUUGCGCCUCCUAAAAUGAACACAGGUUGCCCACCUGCCUUGCACCCUUGCCUCCUAAAAUGAGAUAAAGGCUACAGGAACCAGUUUUGAAUUGCAAACACAGCCAAUGGAAAACACUCAGCAACCCGCAUGGUAAUGAGCUCAUU
Elgaria multicarinata webbii is the source of this 474-nucleotide long non-coding RNA. RefSeq lists it as uncharacterized. NCBI's taxonomy places the organism in Eukaryota, Metazoa, Chordata, Lepidosauria, Squamata, Anguidae. The record is from RefSeq and is a predicted model, not a curated record. The transcript is spliced from 3 exons.